Molecule: ribosomal RNA, 428 nt
Filed under: uncultured bacterium
Lineage: Bacteria
Description: bacterial SSU rRNA
Rfam family: Bacterial small subunit ribosomal RNA
Source: RNAcentral
UCCGUGGUGGCGAGUGGCGAACGGGUGAGUAAUACAGUCGGAACGUACCUGAGUGGGAUAACGUAGGCGAAAGUUACGCUAAUACCGCAUAUUCUGUGAGCAGGAAAGAGGGGGAUCGCAAGACCUCUUGCUUUUAGGAGCGGCCGAUGUCGGAUUAGCUAGUUGGUGAGGUAAAGGCUCACCAAGGCGACGAUCCGUAGCGGGUCUGAGAGGAUGAUCCGCCACACUGGGACUGAGACACGGCCCAGACUCCUACGGGAGGCAGCAGUGGGGAAUUUUGGACAAUGGGCGCAAGCCUGAUCCAGCCAUGCCGCGUGAGUGAAGAAGGCCUUCGGGUUGUAAAGCUCUUUCGGUGGGGAAGAAAUUGCUUCGGUUAAUACCUGGAGUAGAUGACGGUACCCGCAUAAGAAGCACCGGCUAACUACGUG